GUAAAGCGAGUGCGGGAAAAUAAAUAAGAUAAAGACAAGUAAUAAAAACCUGCUCCAAUCGGAGGGUUGAGUAAAUUGCAAGCGGAAAUGAAAAUGGCGGCAGGAUUAACUUUCUUCCAAAUAAGAAAGGGGUUCUGGCCCUAACCUUUUACAGACGCUGUGGCGGGCGCCACAAGGCAAAAUCUGGUCGGGCCGGAUUUUGGUCCUUUGACUUGG
RNAcentral lists this long non-coding RNA (216 nucleotides) under Lathyrus oleraceus (garden pea). Its description in RNAcentral is "Pisum sativum (pea) long non-coding RNA (PSAT_LNC011939)". The record is from RNAcentral. Lineage: Eukaryota; Viridiplantae; Streptophyta; Magnoliopsida; Fabales; Fabaceae.